Molecule: ribosomal RNA, 761 nt
Filed under: uncultured bacterium
Lineage: Bacteria
Description: bacterial SSU rRNA
Rfam family: Bacterial small subunit ribosomal RNA
Source: RNAcentral
GCAAUGAAGAGCCUAGAGUGGCGUAAGGGUGCGUAACACGUAUGCAAUCUGCCCUCAACAGGAGUAUAGCUCCCCGAAAGGGGAAUUAAGCCUCCAUAGGAUCGUAGAGUGGCAUCACUUAGCGAUUAAACUACAAGGGGUUGAGGAUGAGCAUGCGUCUGAUUAGUUAGUUGGCGGGGUAACGGCCCACCAAGACGAUGAUCAGUAGGGGAACUGAGAGGUUGGUCCCCCACACUGGCACUGAGAUACGGGCCAGACUCCUACGGGAGGCAGCAGUAGGGAAUAUUGGACAAUGGGUGCAAGCCUGAUCCAGCCAUGCCGCGUGCAGGAAGAAAGCCUUCUGGGUUGUAAACUGCUUUUACCAGGGGAUAAAAUAGCUUUGCGAAGCGAAUUGAAGGUACCUGGUGAAUAAGCCACGGCUAACUACGUGCCAGCAGCCGCGGUAAUACGUAGGUGGCAAGCGUUGUCCGGAUUUAUUGGGUUUAAAGGGUGCGUAGGCGGUUUUUUAAGUCAGUGGUGAAGUACGGCAGCUUAACUGUCGAGGUGCCAUUGAUACUGGGAAACUUGAGUACUGAUGAGGUAGGCGGAAUGGACGGUGUAGCGGUGAAAUGCUUAGAGAUCGUCCAGAACACCGAUAGCGAAGGCAGCUUACUAAGGAGUAACUGACGCUGAGGCACGAAAGUGUGGGGAUCAAACAGGAUUAGAUACCCUGGUAGUCCACACUGUAAACGAUGAUUACUCGAUGUUGGCGAUACACAGCC